Polypterus senegalus (gray bichir) is the source of this 551-nucleotide long non-coding RNA. RefSeq lists it as uncharacterized. NCBI's taxonomy places the organism in Eukaryota, Metazoa, Chordata, Cladistia, Polypteriformes, Polypteridae. The record is from RefSeq and is a predicted model, not a curated record. The transcript is spliced from 3 exons.
UGAUGCGCUUGAGCGCAAGUUCGGCGAGCAAAGACCGCAGGAAGAGUCAAGCCAUGCGCUUAAAAGAAUCAAGAGGGCGCAUAACGUGGGUAUUGCGGUAAGUUGACAAUAUAGUAGAAAAGUAUACGUCGCCAAGUUAGCCUAAGUUAGCGCUUGGCUACACAUCUACUUUUGUUCCUUGCGUCUAGCUUAUUUAACAGUUUGUCACGUCCGAAUUAUACGAUGUUGUUUGAAAAUGCUUUGUUUCCCAUGCAUGUAUGCGUGUAUCUACUAAAGCGUUUUUAAUUCAAUGUUACAGGAAGCUGUAAGGUACCUCCAUAAUUCGGAAAGCAGCCCGCAUAAAUAUGAUCCACAAACUGGAAUAAAUUCACCUCAUAACCAGGCAGUAAUGACAUAUCUGCUGGAGGAAUUGAAGACGACUUUUGCAGAUGCAGACCCUGACUGUAUAAAGGGACUUACUAUGAGACAUUGCGGAGGAAAUACUGUUUGUCUCAGCCAGGAAAGUCCCAGCUAAGAGACUCUGUUAAGGGGCUAAAAACCGACAAAGGAAA